AAAGCUCGUAGUCGAAUCUGUGUCCCGCGCCGCCGGUUCAUCGUCCGCGGUGUUAACUGGCGUGUCGCGGGACGUCCUGCCGGUGGGCUUAGCUCGCAAAGGGGCCCAACUCAAUCCCGCCGCGGUGCUCUUCACUGAGUGUCGAGGUGGGCCGGCACGUUUACUUUGAACAAAUUAGAGUGCUUAAAGCAGGCUAAAAUUUUGCCUGAAUACUGUGUGCAUGGAAUAAUGGAAUAGGACCUCGGUUCUAUUUUGUUGGUUUUCGGAACCCCGAGGUAAUGAUUAAUAGGAACGGAUGGGGGCAUUCGUAUUGCGACGUUAGAGGUGAAAUUCUUGGAUCGUCGCAAGACGGACAGAAGCGAAAGCAUUUGCCAAAAACGCUUUCAUUGAUCAAGAACGAAAGUUAGAGGUUCGAAGGCGAUCAGAUACCGCCCUAGUUCUAACCAUAAACGAUGCCAGCUAGCGAUCCGCCGACGUUCCUCCGAUGACUCGGCGGGCAGCUUCCGGGAAACCAAAGCUUUUGGGUUCCGGGGGAAGUAUGGUUGCAAAGCUGAAACU
RNAcentral lists this ribosomal RNA (558 nucleotides) under Demonax seoulensis. RNAcentral describes it as "SSU rRNA". It matches the Rfam family "Eukaryotic small subunit ribosomal RNA", at positions 623 to 1144 of the family's 1831-position model. Lineage: Eukaryota; Metazoa; Arthropoda; Insecta; Coleoptera; Cerambycidae. The record is from RNAcentral.